Anastrepha obliqua is the source of this 688-nucleotide long non-coding RNA. RefSeq lists it as uncharacterized. The transcript has 3 exons. Lineage: Eukaryota; Metazoa; Arthropoda; Insecta; Diptera; Tephritidae. The record is from RefSeq and is a predicted model, not a curated record.
UUUGUCAUCAGCUUACGUUCUGUUAUCAAGAUCUAUCAGCUUUCUUUACCUUUGAGUCGAGAAUUUCAGAAAAUCAAUUUAGAUUUAGUUCAAGCUGUAGACCUGACCAAAGAUUUACGCGCUGAACUCAUGAAAAUACGUUCUGAAGAUUCUGAAUUUUCUGAAAUUUACAAAGGUUCGACAGAAUUAGCAGAAUCCCUUGAAAUUGAAGUGAAAAAUAAGAGGAUAGUGGGGAGAUAGAAGCAUCGUGGAAACCAUCAACACGGAUCUUGAAAAAAGAUUCACCAGUCACGAAAAUAUUCUUAAGGGAUUCAUGGCACUCUUUUAACACGAACCUCCCAAAGUUGACGAACUGUCCGGAGAAAACUGUAGAGUUUUACCAAGAGUUCCUCACAGCGGAAUUAACGGAAGUACUUGCGGAGUUAAAAAUGUGGAGAAGAUAUCUGACCACUCAACGCAACGUUUAGCCGUUGAAUGCAUUGUAUCAUUCCCCUGGUGAAAAUUUUCGUAACAUCAACAUUUUACUGAAGAUUUUAGCAACUUUACCUGUAUCGACUUCGACUCCAGAGAGAACCUUCUCCUGUCUGAAAAGAAUGAAGACUAUUCAAAGAAACAAAAUUGGAGAAGAUCGCUUAAAUGGAUUGGCAGCUCUUUGAUUCUCACUGAUGAGAUAUCUAAGAAACCUCGC